RNAcentral lists this long non-coding RNA (436 nucleotides) under Capsella rubella. Its description in RNAcentral is "long non-coding RNA (CRUB_LNC003599)". The record is from RNAcentral. Lineage: Eukaryota; Viridiplantae; Streptophyta; Magnoliopsida; Brassicales; Brassicaceae.
UGGCGAUGACCUGAACCGUGUACGUACGGCGAAAUUCAUGAUGCAACUUCUUGCACGUGUGAGUGAGUUUUUGCCUACAUAGACACGUUACGUGCGAUGCUACUAGACCACCACUAGUUACUACCAGCUAGCUGUCACCAUAUCAGAAGCGUGUCCUAACCACGGCUGGGAGAAUUAACGACGUUUUAGUCAAGGUUUUUUAACGCUCAGUUUUUUUGUUUUCUCACCGUUUACGUUCCAUUUGCUAUUAUGAAAUAGAAAACUACCGUAACACCCUUGUUUGGUUUCCAAGGGGAAAACAACAUUUUAGCAUCCAUCGAGAAGGGGGCAAAACAGGGACAUUUGGGAGGAUUAAUGUGGGUGGAGGAGAGAGCCCCAAGGUUCUGUUCUCUUCAAACCACAAACACCACGUGACAGACCAAUACUCAAACAAAAA